GAUGAACGCUGGCGGCGUGCUUAACACAUGCAAGUCGAACGGAAAGGCUCCUGCUUGCAGGGGUACUCGAGUGGCGAACGGGUGAGUAACACGUGGGUGAUCUGCCCUGCACUUCGGGAUAAGCCUGGGAAACUGGGUCUAAUACCGGAUAGGACGAUGGUUUGGAUGCCAUUGUGGAAUGUUUUUCGGUGUGGGAUGAGCUCGCGGCCUAUCAGCUUGUUGGUGGGGUAAUGGCCUACCAAGGCGUCGACGGGUAGCCGGCCUGAGAGGGUGUACGGCCACAUUGGGACUGAGAUACGGCCCAGACUCCUACGGGAGGCAGCAGUGGGGAAUAUUGCACAAUGGGCGCAAGCCUGAUGCAGCGACGCCGCGUGGGGGAUGACGGCCUUCGGGUUGUAAACUCCUUUCGCUAGGGACGAAGCGCAAGUGACGGUACCUGGAGAAGAAGCACCGGCUAACUACGUG
Molecule: ribosomal RNA, 465 nt
Filed under: uncultured bacterium
Lineage: Bacteria
Description: partial 16S ribosomal RNA
Rfam family: Bacterial small subunit ribosomal RNA
Source: RNAcentral